GACAGAGGUGGCGAGCGUUGUUCGGAUUUAUUGGGCGUAAAGCGCACGCAGGCGGUUUGGUAAGUCAGAGGUGAAAGCCCACAGCUUAACUGUGGGACUGCCUUUGAUACUGCCUUUCUCGAGUGCAUGAGGGGGAAGCGGAAUUCCGAGUGUAGAGGUGAAAUUCGUAGAUAUUCGGAGGAACACCGGUGGCGAAGGCGGCUUCCUGGCAUGUAACUGACGCUCAGGUGCGAAAGCGUGGGUAGCAAACAGG
RNAcentral lists this ribosomal RNA (253 nucleotides) under uncultured Nitrospirales bacterium. RNAcentral's name for it is "partial 16S ribosomal RNA". It matches the Rfam family "Bacterial small subunit ribosomal RNA", at positions 524 to 776 of the family's 1533-position model. The record is from RNAcentral. Lineage: Bacteria; Pseudomonadati; Nitrospirota; Nitrospiria; Nitrospirales.